GCGACCCYAGGACGGGCGAGGCCACCCGCCGAGUUUAAGCAUAUCAAUAAGCGGAGGAGAAG
Molecule: ribosomal RNA, 62 nt
Filed under: Pescatoria lamellosa
Lineage: Eukaryota; Viridiplantae; Streptophyta; Magnoliopsida; Asparagales; Orchidaceae
Description: partial 26S ribosomal RNA
Source: RNAcentral